UUAAAUUGAAGAGUUUGAUCAUGGCUCAGAUUGAACGCUGGCGGCAGGCCUAACACAUGCAAGUCGAACGGUAACAGGAAGCAGCUUGCUGCUUCGCUGACGAGUGGCGGACGGGUGAGUAAUGUCUGGGAAACUGCCUGAUGGAGGGGGAUAACUACUGGAAACGGUAGCUAAUACCGCAUAACGUCGCAAGACCAAAGAGGGGGACCUUCGGGCCUCUUGCCAUCGGAUGUGCCCAGAUGGGAUUAGCUAGUAGGUGGGGUAACGGCUCACCUAGGCGACGAUCCCUAGCUGGUCUGAGAG
Molecule: ribosomal RNA, 303 nt
Filed under: Escherichia coli
Lineage: Bacteria; Pseudomonadati; Pseudomonadota; Gammaproteobacteria; Enterobacterales; Enterobacteriaceae
Description: partial 16S ribosomal RNA
Rfam family: Bacterial small subunit ribosomal RNA
Source: RNAcentral